CACUCCUACGGGAGGCAGCAGUGGGGAAUAUUGGACAAUGGGCGCAAGCCUGAUCCAGCCAUGCCGCGUGAGUGAUGAAGGCCCUAGGGUUGUAAAGCUCUUUCACCGGUGAAGAUAAUGACGGUAACCGGAGAAGAAGCCCCGGCUAACUUCGUGCCAGCAGCCGCGGUAAUACGAAGGGGGCUAGCGUUGUUCGGAUUUACUGGGCGUAAAGCGCACGUAGGCGGACUAUUAAGUCAGGGGUGAAAUCCCGGGGCUCAACCCCGGAACUGCCUUUGAUACUGGUAGUCUUGAGUUCGAGAGAGGUGAGUGGAAUUCCGAGUGUAGAGGUGAAAUUCGUAGAUAUUCGGAGGAACACCAGUGGCGAAGGCGGCUCACUGGCUCGAUACUGACGCUGAGGUGCGAAAGCGUGGGGAGCAAACAGGAUUAGAUACCCGAGUAGUCCCAU
Molecule: ribosomal RNA, 448 nt
Filed under: uncultured organism
Description: partial 16S ribosomal RNA
Rfam family: Bacterial small subunit ribosomal RNA
Source: RNAcentral